Molecule: transfer RNA, 73 nt
Organism: Camelus ferus (Wild Bactrian camel)
Lineage: Eukaryota; Metazoa; Chordata; Mammalia; Artiodactyla; Camelidae
Rfam family: tRNA
About the family: Transfer RNA (tRNA) molecules are approximately 80 nucleotides in length. Their secondary structure includes four short double-helical elements and three loops (D, anti-codon, and T loops). Further hydrogen bonds mediate the characteristic L-shaped molecular structure. tRNAs have two regions of fundamental functional importance: the anti-codon, which is responsible for specific mRNA codon recognition, and the 3' end, to which the tRNAs corresponding amino acid is attached (by aminoacyl-tRNA synthetases). tRNAs cope with the degeneracy of the genetic code in two manners: having more than one tRNA (with a specific anti-codon) for a particular amino acid; and 'wobble' base-pairing, i.e. permitting non-standard base-pairing at the 3rd anti-codon position.
Source: Rfam
GAAGGUAUAGCUCAAGUGGUAGAGCCUUUGUUUAGUAUGCACGGGGUCCUGGGUUCGAUCCCCAGUACCUCCU